AUGAACGCUAGCGGCAGGCUUAAUACAUGCAAGUUGAGGGGCAGCAUGAUAUACGCGAGUAUAUUGAUGGCGACCGGCGGACGGGUGAGUAAUAGGUAGGAGACCUACCUCAUACAGGGGGAUAGCAUAGAGAAAUCUGUGGUAAUACCCCAUGAGGUUAUAUGAAUAGAGGCAUAUAAUCAAAGCAUAAGCGAUUAUGCGGUAUGAGAGGGGCCUACUGACCAUUAGCUAGUUGGUGAGGUAAGGGCUCACCAAGGCGAAGAUGGUUAGGGGUUUUGAGAGAGAGACCCCCCACAUUGGAACUGAGAGACGGUCCAGACUCCUACGGGAGGCAGCAGUAGGGAAUAUUGGGCAAUGGGCGAAAGCCUGACCCAGCCAUGCCGCGUGAAGGAAGACGGCCUUAUGGGUUGUAAACUUCUUUACUACACGAAUAGAGGUUAGUACGAGAUACUAAUAGGAAGGUAGUGUAGUAAAAAGCACCGGCUAACUCCGUG
RNAcentral lists this ribosomal RNA (494 nucleotides) under uncultured bacterium. RNAcentral describes it as "bacterial SSU rRNA". It matches the Rfam family "Bacterial small subunit ribosomal RNA", at positions 30 to 507 of the family's 1533-position model. The record is from RNAcentral.